Molecule: ribosomal RNA, 893 nt
Filed under: uncultured bacterium
Lineage: Bacteria
Description: bacterial SSU rRNA
Rfam family: Bacterial small subunit ribosomal RNA
Source: RNAcentral
UCGACGGAGUACCCCUGAAGGAGUUUUCGGACAACUGAUGGGACUACUUAGUGGCGGACGGGUGAGUAACGCGUGAGUAACCUGCCUUGGAGUGGGGAAUAACAGCUGGAAACAGCUGCUAAUACCGCAUAAUAUGUCUGUGUCGCAUGGCACUGGACAUCAAAGAUUUAUCGCUCUGAGAUGGACUCGCGUCUGAUUAGCUAGUUGGCGGGGUAACGGCCCACCAAGGCGACGAUCAGUAGCCGGACUGAGAGGUUGGCCGGCCACAUUGGGACUGAGACACGGCCCAGACUCCUACGGGAGGCAGCAGUGGGGAAUAUUGGGCAAUGGGCGCAAGCCUGACCCAGCAACGCCGCGUGAAGGAAGAAGGCUUUCGGGUUGUAAACUUCUUUUCUCAGGGACGAAGCAAGUGACGGUACCUGAGGAAUAAGCCACGGCUAACUACGUGCCAGCAGCCGCGGUAAUACGUAGGUGGCAAGCGUUAUCCGGAUUUACUGGGUGUAAAGGGCGUGUAGGCGGGACUGCAAGUCAGAUGUGAAAACCACGGGCUCAACCUGUGGCCUGCAUUUGAAACUGUAGUUCUUGGGUACUGGAGAGGCAGACGGAAUUCCUAGUGUAGCGGUGAAAUGCGUAGAUAUUAGGAGGAACACCAGUGGCGAAGGCAGUCUGCUGGACAGCAACUGACGCUGAGGCGCGAAAGCGUGGGGAGCAAACAGGAUUAGAUACCCUGGUAGUCCACGCUGUAAACGAUGGAUACUAGGUGUGGGGGGACUGACCCCCUCCGUGCCGCAGUUAACACAAUAAGUAUCCCACCUGGGGAGUACGAUCGCAAGGUUGAAACUCAAAGGAAUUGACGGGGGCCCGCACAAGCGGUGGAGUAUGUGGUUUAAUUC